CCUACGGGUGGCAGCAGUGAGGAAUAUUGGUCAAUGGGCGGGAGCCUGAACCAGCCAAGUCGCGUGAAGGAAGAAGGUACUUAGUAUUGUAAACUUCUUUUGUCGGGGAACAAAGGCGGAGACGCGUCUCCGGAUGAGUGUACCCGAAGCAAAAGCAUCGGCUAACUCCGUGCCAGCCGCGGCGGUAAUACGGAGGAUGCGAGCGUUAUCCGGAUCUAUUGGGUUGAAAGGGUGCGCAGGCGUGAGAUCAAGUCAGCGGGAAAAUGACGUGGCUCAACCCCGGCCGGCCGUUGAAACUGGUUGUCUAGAGUUGGAGAGAAGUAUGCAGAAUUCGUGGUGUAGCGGUGAAAUGCAUAGAUAUCACGAAGAACUCCGAUGGCGAAGGCAGCAUACCGGCUCCAUACUGACGCUGAGGCACGAAAGCGUGGGGAGCGAACAGGAUUAGAUACCCGAGUAGUC
Molecule: ribosomal RNA, 459 nt
Filed under: uncultured bacterium
Lineage: Bacteria
Description: partial 16S ribosomal RNA
Rfam family: Bacterial small subunit ribosomal RNA
Source: RNAcentral